This 635-nucleotide ribosomal RNA is filed under the name uncultured Colwellia sp. RNAcentral describes it as "bacterial SSU rRNA". It matches the Rfam family "Bacterial small subunit ribosomal RNA", at positions 68 to 692 of the family's 1533-position model. The record is from RNAcentral. Lineage: Bacteria; Pseudomonadati; Pseudomonadota; Gammaproteobacteria; Alteromonadales; Colwelliaceae.
GGUAGCAGAGAUAGCUUGCUAUCUGCUGACGAGCGGCGGACGGGUGAGUAAUGCUUGGGAAUAUGCCUUUGAGUGGGGGACAACAGUUGGGAACGACUGCUAAUACCGCAUAUCGUCUACGGACCAAAGGGGGGGAUUCUUCGGAACCUCUCGCUCAUUGAUUAGCCCAAGUGAGAUUAGCUAGUUGGUAAGGUAAUGGCUUACCAAGGCGACGAUCUCUAGCUGGUUUGAGAGGAUGAUCAGCCACACUGGGACUGAGACACGGCCCAGACUCCUACGGGAGGCAGCAGUGGGGAAUAUUGCACAAUGGGCGAAAGCCUGAUGCAGCCAUGCCGCGUGUGUGAAGAAGGCCUUCGGGUUGUAAAGCACUUUCAGCGAGGAGGAAAGGGAUGUAGUUAAUAACUGCAUUCUGUGACGUUACUCGCAGAAGAAGCACCGGCUAACUUCGUGCCAGCAGCCGCGGUAAUACGAGGGGUGCAAGCGUUAAUCGGAAUUACUGGGCGUAAAGCGUGCGUAGGUGGUUUGUUAAGCAAGAUGUGAAAGCCCUGGGCUCAACCUGGGAACUGCAUUUUGAACUGGCAAGCUAGAGUUUUGUAGAGGGUAGUGGAAUUUCCAGUGUAGCGGUGAAAUGCGUA